GUGAGUGCUUAGUUGCUGCAGCAUGGAGAUAUAAAGAUCAUGCAAGCAACUGAAAUCAUAAGAAUACCCUUGUUCAUGCAUUGGUUGAUCUCAAGCUGAAAGAGCAUCAGCCUUCACGAUGUUCCUGGCCUAUCAAACAGGGGAGGUCUAGCAGGAACCAAACCUGAUCUUGUAAAGCAAUGCGAUUCCAGUGGCAGGAAAUCAAAUAGCUUACCAAAUCUAUUCUAAGGCAUUCAUGAUUUACAUUCUGUAUGUGGUUAGCAUCUAGCUGUAGUAUAGACU
RNAcentral lists this unclassified non-coding RNA (282 nucleotides) under Hevea brasiliensis (rubber tree). The record is from RNAcentral. Lineage: Eukaryota; Viridiplantae; Streptophyta; Magnoliopsida; Malpighiales; Euphorbiaceae.